This 306-nucleotide ribosomal RNA is filed under the name uncultured bacterium. RNAcentral describes it as "bacterial SSU rRNA". It matches the Rfam family "Bacterial small subunit ribosomal RNA", at positions 28 to 334 of the family's 1533-position model. The record is from RNAcentral.
GACGAACGCUGGCGGCGUGCUUAACACAUGCAAGUCGUACGGUAAGGCCCUUUCGGGGGUACACGAGUGGCGAACGGGUGAGUAACACGUGAGUAACCUGCCCACAACUUUGGGAUAACGCUAGGAAACUGGUGCUAAUACUGGAUAUGUGCUCCUGCUGCAUGGUGGGGGUUGGAAAGCUCCGGCGGUUGUGGAUGGACUCGCGGCCUAUCAGCUUGUUGGUGGGGUAGUGGCCUACCAAGGCGGCGACGGGUAGCCGGCCUGAGAGGGUUGACCGGCCACAUUGGGACUGAGAUACGGGCCCAG